RNAcentral lists this ribosomal RNA (305 nucleotides) under uncultured bacterium. RNAcentral describes it as "bacterial SSU rRNA". It matches the Rfam family "Bacterial small subunit ribosomal RNA", at positions 337 to 640 of the family's 1533-position model. The record is from RNAcentral.
GCCUACGGGAGGCAGCAGUGAGGAAUAUUGGUCAAUGGCCGAGAGGCUGAACCAGCCAAGUCGCGUGAGGGAAGAAUGUCCUAAGGAUUGUAAACCUCUUUUGUCGGGGAGCAAAAAGGCUCUGCGGAGUCGUGUUGAGAGUACCCGAAGAAAAAGCAUCGGCUAACUCCGUGCCAGCAGCCGCGGUAAUACGGAGGAUGCGAGCGUUAUCCGGAUUUAUUGGGUUUAAAGGGUGCGCAGGCGGCCUGUUAAGUCAGCAGUAAAAGCCCGGGGCUCAACCCCGGCGAGCCGUUGAAACUGGCGGG